GGGCGGAUGGAGCCAAGUGGAUCAAGGCAGUGGAUUUGUGAAUCC
This 45-nucleotide transfer RNA is filed under the name Cayaponia quinqueloba. RNAcentral's name for it is "partial tRNA-His". Lineage: Eukaryota; Viridiplantae; Streptophyta; Magnoliopsida; Cucurbitales; Cucurbitaceae. The record is from RNAcentral.